UGUCCAGUAGCUCCUAUCCCUACUUUACCGUGGUGCCACCUGGGAUAUGAGUAACCUUAGGAAAGAUUGGGUAACCUACCCCGGUGGGACCUUGGUCGUAUGCUGACAGGGAAGG
Molecule: ribozyme, 115 nt
Filed under: Aedes aegypti (yellow fever mosquito)
Lineage: Eukaryota; Metazoa; Arthropoda; Insecta; Diptera; Culicidae
Description: drz-agam-1 ribozyme
Rfam family: drz-agam-1 ribozyme
Source: Rfam by way of RNAcentral